GUUCUGUAUAAUUAUGUAAGACUGAGGUUGAUAGGUAAUGUGGUCAAUUUGAUUGGCAGUUUAGGAGGUGGGGCAUUGUAAUUUAAGGUCCACCUUGUCUCUGAUUGUUUACUGAUAAUGACAGUUGCCAAGCAUACUAGUUGAAUCAAUACCCAGUUACCUAAUCAAAAUGUUUUUUUAAAAAGCCUGCACAUCAACACACCUUAAUGACAUACAUUUUUGAAUGAACUGCUCCAAUAAUAUACCCAGUUUUUUUUCAGUUUAUAUGUGUAGUAUGUGCACAUAAAUGAGAACCAUAGGGAACUAUAUUUCAGUGUGAAUACAUUUAGUAACAGUAGCUAACCUGUCCUGUUGUUAGGGAGGCUGGUGCCUAAGUAAAGAUUUAGAACAAGUUCU
Molecule: long non-coding RNA, 396 nt
Filed under: Mytilus galloprovincialis (Mediterranean mussel)
Lineage: Eukaryota; Metazoa; Mollusca; Bivalvia; Mytilida; Mytilidae
Source: RNAcentral